UGGGGAAUAUUGGACAAUGGGGGGAACCCUGAUCCAGCGAUGCCGCGUGUGUGAAGAAGGCCUGCGGGUUGUAAAGCACUUUCGGUGGGGAGGAGGAUACUUAGGUUAAGAGCUAGAGUAUUGGACGUUACCCACAUAAGAAGCACCGGCUAACUCCGUGCCAGCAGCCGCGGUAAUACGGAGGGUGCGAGCGUUAAUCGGAAUUACUGGGCGUAAAGGGUGCGUAGGUGGUUUAAUAAGUUAAGUGUGAAAGACCCGGGCUUAACCUGGGAUAGUCAUUUAAGACUGUUAGACUAGAGUAUGGGAGAGGGUAGUGGAAUUUCCGGUGUAGCGGUGAAAUGCGUAGAGAUCGGAAGGAACACCAGUGGCGAAGGCGGCUACCUGGCCUAAUACUGACACUGAGGCACGAAAGCAUGGGGAGCAAACAGGAUUAGAUACCCCCGUAGUCCCUGAGCGGGCUGGCAAGGCGCAU
This 472-nucleotide ribosomal RNA is filed under the name uncultured bacterium. RNAcentral describes it as "bacterial SSU rRNA". It matches the Rfam family "Bacterial small subunit ribosomal RNA", at positions 355 to 825 of the family's 1533-position model. The record is from RNAcentral.